Molecule: ribosomal RNA, 468 nt
Filed under: uncultured bacterium
Lineage: Bacteria
Description: partial 16S ribosomal RNA
Rfam family: Bacterial small subunit ribosomal RNA
Source: RNAcentral
GACGAACGCUGGCGGCGUGCUUAACACAUGCAAGUCGAACGGAAAGGCCCUGCUUUUGUGGGGUGCUCGAGUGGCGAACGGGUGAGUAACACGUGAGUAACCUGCCCUUGACUUUGGGAUAACUUCAGGAAACUGGGGCUAAUACCGGAUAGGAGCUCCUGCUGCAUGGUGGGGGUUGGAAAGUUUCGGCGGUUGGGGAUGGACUCGCGGCUUAUCAGCUUGUUGGUGGGGUAGUGGCUUACCAAGGCUUUGACGGGUAGCCGGCCUGAGAGGGUGACCGGCCACAUUGGGCCUGAGAUACGGCCCAGACUCCUACGGGAGGCAGCAGUGGGGAAUAUUGCACAAUGGGCGGACGCCUGAUGCAGCAACGCCGCGUGCGGGAUGACGGCCUUCGGGUUGUAAACCGCUUUCGCCUGUGACGAAGCGUGCGUGACGGUAAUGGGUAAAGAAGCACCGGCUAACUACGUG